AAUCUUGCGCAAUGGGCGAAAGCCUGACGCAGCGACGCCGCGUGAGUGAAGAAGGCCUUCGGGUUGUAAAACUCUGUCCUCAGGGAAGAAGCAAGUGACGGUACCUGAGGAGGAAGCACCGGCUACAUACUUGCGAGCAGCCGCGGUAAUACGUCGGGGGCGAGCGUUGUCCGGAAUCAUUGGGCGUAAAGGGUGCGUAGGCGGCCUUUGAAGUCAGGUAUGAAAGACCACAGCUUAACGGUGGGGUUGCAUUUGAAACUGGAAGGCUUGAGUAUCGGAGAGGGUAGUGGAAUUCCCGGUAUAGCGGUGAAAUGCGUAGAUAUCGGGAGGAACACCAGUGGCGAAGGCGACUACCUGGACGAAAACUGACGCUGAGGCACGAAAGCUAGGGUAGCAAA
Molecule: ribosomal RNA, 398 nt
Filed under: uncultured bacterium
Lineage: Bacteria
Description: partial 16S ribosomal RNA
Rfam family: Bacterial small subunit ribosomal RNA
Source: RNAcentral